This is a non-coding RNA of Setomelanomma holmii, 100 nucleotides long. Lineage: Eukaryota; Fungi; Ascomycota; Dothideomycetes; Pleosporales; Phaeosphaeriaceae. The record is from the annotation of a GenBank genome assembly.
UCCCAAUUAGUCCAGAGGUUAGGAUAUCUGGCUUUCAUCUUCUCGGCCUUUCAGGUCGUUGACAACCCAGAAGACCCGGGUUCAAUUCCCGGAUUGGGAA